This is a long non-coding RNA of Salvelinus sp. IW2-2015, 684 nucleotides long. RefSeq lists it as uncharacterized. NCBI's taxonomy places the organism in Eukaryota, Metazoa, Chordata, Actinopteri, Salmoniformes, Salmonidae. The record is from RefSeq and is a predicted model, not a curated record. The transcript has 3 exons.
CCCCUCCUUGAUGAUUGACAAUAUCCAUAACCAAUCGUUGCGUUCACGAGCUCACAGAUGUCCCAAUAGCUGAAUAGCAUGACGGUGUGGGGCGGAUCAUAUAAUUCAACGAGAGGAAGAGAUGGGAUUUGUCUUUGUGUUGACAUAUUGAUUGCGGCGAGGUACAGUAAGACCUGAACCUGCCAGCCGGAUUAGCCUAGUUUUCAGUGCAAUAGAACCUGUAUUCCCAUACCUGCCAGUGAUAUUCUUGGCAUUUUUUGCCUUUAAUGUCCACAAAAUAUUCAAGAGGAAGCUGAUGAAGGCAUCACUGAAGAAGUCUGACAUGCUGAACGCAUCCGCCAUGCUGUCAGAGCUGUUCAUACAUCUGAAGAGUGUGGAGGUUAGGCUGCUGGCCCUGGAGAAGAAGCUUCAGGCGGUCGACGAGGAGCGGAGAAGACUGGGGAAAGUAACUCGAAACACAGGGGCCAGGAACUAACCCACUGUGACGCUGUGGAGUCUUCCUCGUGUUGCUACUCAUCCAUAGAGUGAAGAUGAGGGCAACCACUCAGGAGUGCUGAGUCAGGCAUUGGAGCCUGUUCUAUUCUUGAACCUUAAAUAUCUGCUUCAAAAAUCAGUAAAAUAUGACUUAGUUCCAAACUACAUUUAGCUUUCUUUUGUCUUUUGAUGCUAUUCUGUACUAUGCUU